GAUGAACGCUGGCGGCGUGCUUAACACAUGCAAGUCGAACGAUGAAGCUCAGCUUGCUGGGUGGAUUAGUGGCGAACGGGUGAGUAACACGUGAGUAACCUGCCCUUAACUCUGGGAUAAGCCUGGGAAACUAGGUCUAAUACCGGAUAGGAGCGCCUACCGCAUGGUGGGUGUUGGAAAGAUUUAUCGGUUUUGGAUGGACUCGCGGCCUAUCAGCUUGUUGGUGAGGUAAUGGCUCACCAAGGCGACGACGGGUAGCCGGCCUGAGAGGGUGACCGGCCAACAUGGGACUGAGACACGGCCCAGACUCCUACGAGAGGCAGCAGUGGGGAAUAUUGCACAAUGGGCGAAAGCCUGAUGCAGCGACGCCGCGUGAGGGAUGACGGCCUUCGGGUUGUAAACCUCUUUCAGUAGGGAAGAAGCGAAAGUGACGGUACCUGCAGAAGAAGCACCGGCUAACUACGUG
RNAcentral lists this ribosomal RNA (466 nucleotides) under uncultured bacterium. RNAcentral's name for it is "partial 16S ribosomal RNA". It matches the Rfam family "Bacterial small subunit ribosomal RNA", at positions 28 to 507 of the family's 1533-position model. The record is from RNAcentral.